GUUGAAAAUAGUUCGCGUGAUUUCAAAUGUUUGUGAGCAAACAAUGAGGCUCUUACUUCGAGCUAUUGUUUUUGCAAUCUGUGCAACAUUGUACAGCGUGUACGUGAAAGCGUUUGAGCGGUGUGAACUACAGUGGCUGGUGGUGGUUUAAUCUGUCGGUUGUGGAACGUCUAAGUUUGCGGUUGAUUUGGAUGCUAGUUCCGAAUCUGAUGCUAUUCCGGGGUUCGUUUAGCGGAUUUCAGCCGUUUUCGAGGUUGAGUUCGUGCGUAGCGGCAGGCCAUGGAUGGAGUCGUUGCGAGCGAGUAAUGAAACUCGUUCUCGCCGACGUUGGAUCAAGAAAGGCAAACUGGACGGGAAAUCACGGGUCCCCAAUUCUACGAAAUGCCAGAAGAACACCAUCGUCGAGCAUCUGACUGCUUGACGAAAAAGUUUAGUCGUCGUUAUUCGUUGGUCGGACAUUGCAGAUACGUGCCCAUGAAUUUAAGCUUUGUUGAUUGCGGCGCGUGUGUUGAUGAUCAAGGGCAUGCUUUCAAAGACGUGUAGGUGCUGAAUCAAGUUUCUGUUGUAAUUGGUUACUGUUUCGGGUGGUUGCUGUGACAGCUAGCCUCGCCCCUAUCGAAACCGAUUUGGGAAGGCAAGGCAGCUGCCACAGCCGCACUAAACUAACCUGAGACAUCAUAAACUCGGUUAGUUUAGUGAUAGGUUAGGUUAGUUUAGUGCGGCUGUGGCAGCCUGCCUUGCCUUCCCAAAUCCGUUUUCGAUGAUGAGGUGAAGCCAACUUUCCGAUUACGAGGCUAUCUGAUUAUGAGGUGAAUGCCGUUGUGUGAUUUGAGGCCGCUUCGAUACUGCUACUAAUUUGAAGAAAGUGAAAGAAGCGCAGUGCAAAGGAAUGAAUUUCGACCUUGCUGUUCCGACGUCACAGAGGAUUUAGGUAGCAAAUUGCAGACGCAUAUUUACAUCAGGGUCAUUCUACGUCGAAUGAUCCAAAUGUCCUACGCCCCCCCCCCCCAUCAGUUCUUUAUAAAGAAUGCAAAAGAAAAUACUUCAGACUACAAAUAGGCAUUUCCCGAAGUCGAAUCUUUCUCCAGUUACGACGUCUGCAAAUUUAUGCAUUAGGGCAAGUCCGCCCUCUCGACUUCUUCCUUCGUAAUAUGGUUUGCGUAAUUUGUGUAAAUUUUGAGUUCUCGAAACUGAAGAAAAGUUAAAUAUUUUUCGCCAACUCUUUGGUAAAUGCUUAUUGGUAGGACGGAUUAUCUAUGGUAUUUUUUAAAGACAACGUCCCUUAGAAGUCGGCCCAGGACGCACAUUCCCCCAGGGCGUGAGUCGUGACCCACAUACGUGAGGCCGACAACGGCAAGCCCUAUCACCACCACCACCACCUAAAGACAACUGAGGGGGUGUCGGGCACAUACCUCUCAACUCUCCUGCAUUUCGUUCAGUCUCCCGACAGUACGGACCACUCCCGGAAAAUUGGGGACCCGGGCUUUUAUUCUGUAAUUUUCCUUUAAGUGCUGCGGGAACGUAUUCCUGGAGAAUUAGACAGCCCAUAACAUGUGUUUCGCGGCAUGACCAUCCAUGGCUGGAGGUUGCGGCAGAUAGCGUGUUUCGUUCUGUCAGCGUUUCUCGAAAGGUGUGCUAUUGUCCUAUCGUCAGUCCACUCUGGUACAGUAGUUUCUUCUCCACCGAUCGCGCUCUCCAAACAGAAGAAAUAUCUGUACGUGCCUUUUCGCAGGUUUUCUUGUUGAACACAACGAGUCGCAGAGUAUAAGCGACCACGUGUGAUCGCUGUUCCAGAAGAUAUUCCCAAAUUGGGAAGGAGCGAAGGGCUACAGGUGUGGAAGAACGUAGACCUCUGGCACCAUCGCUGAAAUGGGUGCGGCUGCACGAAAUGCAGUGUCCUGAAAUGAUGAAUCUUCGCAGUUGCGGUUGACGGAAGCAACGAUAGCGCCUCGCAGCUCCUCCCGAUAGUGGCUACUUAUGACAUAGCGGAAUUGCAACAGAGUGGCAAUACUAUUUCAAAUGCACACGAUUAAUGUGUCUCCUCUCCCCAGUUGCACAGCAGGCAGACUCCCGAAUUUUGAGUUUGUCAGGUUGGCAGGUAUGCGACCAGGUCGUUUGGAUCAUUUGGCGAAUGCAUGACCCCUAAAGAUUGCCUGGUGUCGUUUUUUCAAAGGGUUAAUUUACAUUAGUAGAAUAUUUGUCAGCUGAACAUAAGAAUUUUCAACUGACAAAUAUUGGGCUGUGGUGUUAUGAACAUAGCAUUACCAUCUAGUCAAUGGCUUUCUGUAUGCCACCUGGAAGGCACUAAGCUGCAGGCAUGCUACUAAAAAGGUAGUACAUUCGGCAGCUCUUUUGGACGCUCAGUAUCUAUUGAAAUUUGUUCGUAAAUUAUUUGAGCUUGAUAUUUUACAUUUUGGACUGGCAAUAUUAUUUCUAGAAGUUCACCAAUAUGCGUUGUGAUAUUAUGAACAUUACUAUCUAGCCAUUGUCUAGCCCUUUAUAAUAGCCGUACCAUCACUGUCUUGUCGCAGUGCUCCGCGAACGUAAGGUGCAUACGCUGGUGACUUUAGAAGUGUUUUACCUUUACUUAAAAUAAAGUUUUGUCAAAAUGUG
Molecule: long non-coding RNA, 2613 nt
Organism: Ornithodoros turicata
Lineage: Eukaryota; Metazoa; Arthropoda; Arachnida; Ixodida; Argasidae
Exons: 2
Source: RefSeq, a predicted model, not a curated record